Molecule: ribosomal RNA, 488 nt
Filed under: uncultured bacterium
Lineage: Bacteria
Description: bacterial SSU rRNA
Rfam family: Bacterial small subunit ribosomal RNA
Source: RNAcentral
AUUGAACGCUGGCGGCAUGCCUAACACAUGCAAGUCGAACGGUAACGCGAGGAGCUUGCUCCUUGGCGACGAGUGGCGGACGGGUGAGUAAUGCUUGGGAAUCUACCCAGUAGUGGGGGACAACAUUCGGAAACGGAUGCUAAUACCGCAUACGCGCUACGGUGGAAAGCGGGGGAUCUUCGGACCUCGCGCUAUUGGAUGAGCCCAAGUCGGAUUAGCUUGUUGGUAGGGUAAUGGCCUACCAAGGCGACGAUCCGUAGCUGGUCUGAGAGGACGAUCAGCCACACUGGGACUGAGACACGGCCCAGACUCCUACGGGAGGCAGCAGUGGGGAAUAUUGGACAAUGGGGGCAACCCUGAUCCAGCAAUGCCGCGUGUGUGAAGAAGGCCUGCGGGUUGUAAAGCACUUUCAAUCGUGAAGAAAAGCUUACGGUUAAUACCCGUAAGUAUUGACGUUAACGAUACAAGAAGCACCGGCUAACUCCGUG